RNAcentral lists this ribosomal RNA (497 nucleotides) under uncultured bacterium. RNAcentral's name for it is "partial 16S ribosomal RNA". It matches the Rfam family "Bacterial small subunit ribosomal RNA", at positions 28 to 507 of the family's 1533-position model. The record is from RNAcentral.
GAUGAACGCUGGCGGCGUGCCUAAUACAUGCAAGUCGAGCGAACAGACGAGGAGCUUGCUCCUCUGACGUUAGCGGUGGACGGGUGAGUAACACGUGGAUAACCUACCUAUAAGACUGGGAUAACUUCGGGAAACCGGAGCUAAUACCGGAUAACAUGUUGAACCGCAUGGUUCAACAGUGAAAGACGGUCUUGCUGUCACUUAUAGAUGGAUCCGCGCCGCAUUAGCUAGUUGGUAAGGUAACGGCUUACCAAGGCAACGAUGCGUAGCCGACCUGAGAGGGUGAUCGGCCACACUGGAACUGAGACACGGUCCAGACUCCUACGGGAGGCAGCAGUAGGGAAUCUUCCGCAAUGGGCGAAAGCCUGACGGAGCAACGCCGCGUGAGUGAAGAAGGUCUUCGGAUCGUAAAACUCUGUUAUUAGGGAAGAACAACUGUGUAAGUAACUAUGCACGUCUUGACGGUACCUAAUCAGAAAGCCACGGCUAACUACGUG